This 347-nucleotide ribosomal RNA is filed under the name uncultured prokaryote. RNAcentral's name for it is "bacterial SSU rRNA". It matches the Rfam family "Bacterial small subunit ribosomal RNA", at positions 26 to 352 of the family's 1533-position model. The record is from RNAcentral.
AGAUUGAACGCUAGCGGCAUGCCUAACACAUGCAAGUCGAACGGUAACAGGCCCUUCGGGGUGCUGACGAGUGGCGGACGGUGAGUAAUAGCGUAGGAAGUCUACCCACCGAGUGGGGGAGUAGCCCGGACGGAAAUACCGGAGUUAAUUAACCGCCAUAUGCCCUACCGGGGUAAAGGACGGGGGAGGUCGUAAGAACCUCCGCGCUGGUGGAGUGAGCCUACGUCCGAUUAGUUUAGUUGGUGGGGUAAAGGGACCUACCAAGGCGUACGAUCGGUAGCUGGUCGUGAGAGGACGAUCAGCCACACUGGGACUGAGACACGGCCCAGACUCCUACGGGAGGCAGC